Aethalodelphis obliquidens (Pacific white-sided dolphin) is the source of this 709-nucleotide long non-coding RNA. RefSeq lists it as uncharacterized. The record is from RefSeq and is a predicted model, not a curated record. Lineage: Eukaryota; Metazoa; Chordata; Mammalia; Artiodactyla; Delphinidae. The transcript is spliced from 2 exons.
GCGCGGCGCCACGCAGGGCCUAACAUCGGGCUUCGCUUCCACUCGUCGUGCCCCGCUUCCUCUCGUCGUGCCCCGCUUCCUCUCGUCGUGCCCAUACCCGCUUCUUCUGCGGACUUCUCCGGGAGCCACCUCAUCGUGCCUGGAAAUCCAUCAAAGAAGUAGAAAAGAAGAAUAAGUGAUUAACAGAUGACCAGAUCUCUUCCCUAGCUUCCCCUUCAGUAAUCUCCCAAAUAAACUCUGUGACCAAACUGUGUGAACACGAUCACAUCUCGAGGAAGAUCACAAGAAGCUGAGGAGCCUGCACACAGUGGGGGAUGGCGACGACCCAUCUCAAUGAUUAACUGAGAUUACUUCCCUCCUUCCCUUUAAAAGUUUCAUGAGCAGAAUCUUUGGAGGUGGUUUUUGGGGUACGUUGAGUCCACCAUCUCCCCAGAUUGCUGGCAUUCUGAUUAAAGGCACUUUUCCUUUUUACCAUUUGUUAGUAUUGAUUUUGUAAGCAGCAAGCAGCAGGACCCCCAUUCGAUAACAGUGAAAAUGUUCUGUUUUUUUUGUAUAAUGUUGUGUAUCUUAAUUGGAGUGAUGGUUACACAUGUGUGUACAAUUGUCAAAACUCAGAUUUAUACACCUAAUAUUUGUGCAUUGUACAUCUAUGUAUAAUGUCAGUUAAAAAUAAAACAAAGCAAUGUAAUGAGAAAAAGUGUAAAAAAUA